This 318-nucleotide ribosomal RNA is filed under the name Varanus eremius. RNAcentral describes it as "partial 12S ribosomal RNA". The record is from RNAcentral. Lineage: Eukaryota; Metazoa; Chordata; Lepidosauria; Squamata; Varanidae.
UGUAACAGAGCAGGCAUCAGGCCCAACAACGUUAGCCCACUACGCCUUGCCCAACCACAUCCCCACGGAAAACGCAGCAGUGACUGACAUUAGGCUAUAAGCACACCAAGCUUGACCUAGCUAAGACUCCCCGGCCGGCAAAUCUCGUGCCAGCAGCCGCGGUUACACGGGAGGCCAAAGAUAAUUUACCAACGGCGUAAAGAGUGACUUUAGAUCUCACCUACCACCGGAUCCCCAAAUUCUACCUCAGAGAUGAAAUCCCAAGUUAUUAAGAACCCCCAGGGAUCUCACCCACAUCAGGCCAUCUANCUCNNGAAA